AGUAAUACAUCGGAACGUGUCUUCUUGUGGGGGAUAACUGCCCGAAAGGGCAGCUAAUACCGCAUGAGACCUGAGGGUGAAAGCGGGGGAUCGCAAGACCUCGCGCUGGAAGAGCGGCCGAUGUCCGAUUAGCUAGUUGGUGAGGUAAAGGCUCACCAAGGCGACGAUCGGUAGCUGGUCUGAGAGGACGACCAGCCACACUGGGACUGAGACACGGCCCAG
This 222-nucleotide ribosomal RNA is filed under the name uncultured bacterium. RNAcentral's name for it is "partial 16S ribosomal RNA". It matches the Rfam family "Bacterial small subunit ribosomal RNA", at positions 109 to 334 of the family's 1533-position model. The record is from RNAcentral.